Odocoileus virginianus texanus is the source of this 497-nucleotide long non-coding RNA. RefSeq lists it as uncharacterized. NCBI's taxonomy places the organism in Eukaryota, Metazoa, Chordata, Mammalia, Artiodactyla, Cervidae. The record is from RefSeq and is a predicted model, not a curated record.
GCCCCCCUGUCCGCCUCACUCAGGCAGACGCUGCCGAGCUUCCCCGGGCUGUUUCCCAGUCCCGUUGGGCGGAGGCUGCCGUCUAGACCUGACUCCAGAAUUUAAAAUGCAAUGGCCAGAAGACAGGGAAGUAUCACUAGAAGAAUGUGGACAUGGACUCCAGGACUGCUGAUAAUGACUGUGAUACUUUGGAGUCAGCAGGGGCAUGGACAAGGCCAAGGAGCCUAGGCAGAAAGUGAGCAUUUGAAGAAGAGGGAGACUAAUAUACUUUGAACAAAGAAAACGCAUGGGAGGAUGACAUCAGAUCUGGCUGGAGACUGAAGGAGGGGAGUAACAAAAUACUUCAAGCUUUUUAGAGUGAUCUUUAGAGAAAGAGGAAGUCAUUAAAACACUCUGAAGGGGAGGAACUCUAAUCAUAUCUGAUGGGAGAUGGUCACUCUGACUGCAUGUGAAGACAGAAUGGAAGGAAGUCAAUAUGGAUGAGGAAUUAAAAUUGC